UGUGAACCACGUAAACCAGGGGUGUCAAACUCAACUUCCCUAAGGGCCACACUAGAAAAUGAGAAACAUCGUAUCAAGGGGCAGACAAAGUUUAUUGCUUUUAUGUCUUGGGAAAAGUUAAAUAUCUUUGACUGUAUUAUUGCGUGUUUCACAUAGUCUUCUCACUCACAGUUUGGUCGA
Etheostoma spectabile (orangethroat darter) is the source of this 180-nucleotide long non-coding RNA. RefSeq lists it as uncharacterized. The transcript has 3 exons. The record is from RefSeq and is a predicted model, not a curated record. Lineage: Eukaryota; Metazoa; Chordata; Actinopteri; Perciformes; Percidae.